RNAcentral lists this long non-coding RNA (2741 nucleotides) under Salmo salar (Atlantic salmon). RNAcentral's name for it is "lncRNA (ENSSSAG00000094512.1)". Lineage: Eukaryota; Metazoa; Chordata; Actinopteri; Salmoniformes; Salmonidae. The record is from RNAcentral.
CGCCCUGCGCCUCGUCCUCCGGGUCGGCCUCGAGGCCGGUGUCGGCGCGCUGCAGGGGCCGCGCGUCAGGAGGGGGGUACUGUCACGAUUCCUACCGACGGUGGCGCCCCCUCCUGCUCGGGUGGCGCUCGGCGGUCGUCGUCACCGGCCUAUUAGCUACCACCGAUUCCCUUUUUGUUUUUCCCUUUUUUAUGUUUUCUCACCUGCCCUGAGUUAGGCAAUUAAGAGGGCUAUUUAGUUCAGCUGGCCCGCACCCUAUUGUGCGGGAUUGUUUUUCUGUGUGUCGACUGCGUUUGUUCGACUGUGCUUGUCUAUUGUAUUUUUCCCUGUUGUUGGGAGACCUUUUAUUUUGUACUGGUGGUCCCAUUAAAAUUACCACACAGUGUUCGCUGCUUCCUGCGCUUCUUUCCGCCACACUACAGACAAGACGUUACAUUAUCAUUGGGAUUGAAAAUUCUUGUGACAUGUAUUCAAUAUAGACAAGAAAAAUACAAUAAUUUGUGUUGUGUUAUUAGUUUAAGCAGACUGUGUUUGUCUAUUGUUGUGACUUAGAUGAAGAUCAGAUCAAAUUUUAUGACCAAUUUAUGCAGAAAUCCAGGUAAUUCCAAUGGGUUCACAUACUUUAUCUUGCCACUGUAUAUAAAACACCAUUGGUCAAUCUGUUAAAAAUGUGUAAACUUCAUCUAUAUGCGGAUGAUAGCAUUAUGUAUGCUGUUGCCCUGAUUGUUGAUCAGGAUGUCUCAAAACUACAGUCAGAUGUUAUAGCUAUGCAGAAAUCCCUUGCGGAUUUAAAACAAAUUACAUGUUGUUUUUUUUUAAACUCUCGUAAGAAUGUUUCUGAUUUAACUAAAUGUUCACUCGUUAGAUGGUUUACCAAUGAAAUGUGUUCCUGCAUUUACAGUGCAUUCGGUAUUCAGGCCCCUUGACUUCUUCCACAUUUUGUUACAUUACAGUCUUAUUACAGUCUCAUUAUAGCCUCAUUACAGCCUCAUUACAGUCUUAUUACAAGUUCAUUAAAGCCUCAUUACAGCCUCAUUACAGCUUCAUUACAGCCUCAUUACAGCCUCAUUACAGCCUCAUUACAGCCUCAUUACAGCCUCAUUACAGUCUUCAUUAAAGCCUCAUUAAAGCCUCAUUACAGCCUCAUUACAGCUUCAUUACAGCCUCAUUACAGCCUCAUUACAGCCUCAUUACAGCCUCAUUACAGUCUUAUUGCAGUCUCAUUAUAGCCUCAUUACAGCCUCAUUACAGUCUUAUUACAGCUUCAUUAAAGCCUCAUUACAGCCUCAUUACAGCUUCAUUACAGCCUCAUUACAGCCUCAUUACAGCCUCAUUACAGCCUCAUUACAGCCUCAUUACAGCCUCAUUACAGCCUUAUUACAACCUUAUUUUCUUCAUCAAUCUACACACAAUAGCGCAUAAUAAUAUUUUUUUUCAAAUGUAUAAACAUUUUCAACUGAAAUAUCACAUUUACAUAAGUAUUCUGACCCUUUACUCAGUACUUUGUUGAAACACCUUUGGCAGCGAUUACAGCCUCGAGUCUUCUUGGGUAUGACGCUACAAGCUUGGCACACCUGUAUUUGGGUUGUUUCUCCCAUUCGUCUCUGCAGAUCCUCUCAAGCUCUGUCAGGUUGGAUGGGGAGCGUUAGUGCCCAGCUAUUUUCAGGGCUCUCCAGAGAUGUUCGAUCGGAUUCAAGACCUGGCUCUGGCUGGGCCACUCAAGGACAUUCAGAGACUUGUCCCGAAGCCACUCCUGCGUUGUCUUGGCUGGGUGCUUAGGGUCGUUGUCCUGUUGGAAGGUGAACCUUCACCCCAGUCUGAGGUCCUGAGCGCUCUGGAGCAGGUUUUCAUCAUGGAUCUCUCUGUACUUUGCUCCGUUCAUCUUUCCCUCUAUCCUGACUAGUCUCCCAGUCCCUGCCGCUGAAAAACAUCUCCACAGCAUGAUGCUGCCACCACCAUGCUUCACCGUAGGGAUGGUGCCAGGUUUCCUCCAUAUGUGACACUUGGCAUUCAGACCAAAGAGUUCCAUCUUGGUUUCAUCAGACCAGAGAAUCCUGUUUCUCAUGAUCUGAGAGUCUUUAGGUGCCUUUUGGCAAACUCCAAGUGGGCUGUCAUGUGCCUUUUACUGAGGAGUGGCUUCCGUCUGGCCACUCUGCCAUAAAGGCCUGAUUGGUGGAGUGCUGCAGAGAUGGUUGUCCUUCUGGAAGGUUCUCCCAUCUCCACAGAGGAACUCUAGAGCUCUGUCAGAGUGACGAUCGAGUUCUUCGUCACCUCCCUGACCAAGGCCCUUCUCCCACGAUUGCUGUUUUGCCAGCUCUAGGAAGAGUCUUAGUGGUUCCAAACUUCUUCCAUUUAAGAAAGAUGGAGGCCACUGUGUUCUUGGGGACCUUCAAUGCUGCAGAUUCUUUUUGGUACCCUUCCCCAGAUCUGUGCCUCAACACAAUCCUGUCUCGGAGCUCUAUGGACAAUUCCUUCGACCUCAUGGCUUGGUUUUUGCUCUGACUGACUUGCACUGUCAACUGUGGGACCUUAUACAGACAGGUGUGUGCCUUUCCAUAUCAUGUCCAAUCAACUGAAUUCACCACAGGUGGACUCCAAUCAAGUUGUAGAAACAUCUCAAGGAUGAUCAAUGGAAACAGGAUGCACCUGAGCUCAAUUUAGAGUCUCAUAGCAAAGGGUCUGAAUACUUAUGUAAAUAAGGUAUUUCUGCUUUUUAUUUUUAAUACAUUUGCAAACAUUUC